CGCGGCGCGGGGCAGCGCUGAAAGUUGGGCGGCCCGCGGGGAGCGGCGCGGGACGGGCCCGAGGCGCGGAGACCCGGAGACCAACGGACAGACCCACCGGCAGCCGGGGAGGGGGGGCGGCGCCGGCCCGCCGAGUUCGCGGGGAGGGGGCGCCGGGACUCCCCUCUCCCCGCCCGGGACGCCGCCCGCCCGAUCGCGCCGUGGGAUGUAGAGCCCGCUCGCCGCCUCCUGGACCUUCGUCGGACCCUCCGCCCCGCGGCCCUGCGUCUUCCCAGGU
Molecule: long non-coding RNA, 277 nt
Filed under: Zalophus californianus (California sea lion)
Lineage: Eukaryota; Metazoa; Chordata; Mammalia; Carnivora; Otariidae
Description: lncRNA (ENSZCAG00015013934.1)
Source: RNAcentral